UCGUGGAUAGUAUAGUGGCUAGUAUCUCCGCCUGUCAAAUAUAACAGACCGCGGAAGACCCGGGUUCAAUUCCCGGUUCGCGAA
Molecule: non-coding RNA, 84 nt
Organism: Sphaeroforma arctica JP610
Lineage: Eukaryota; Ichthyosporea; Ichthyophonida
Source: Rfam